Molecule: transfer RNA, 71 nt
Filed under: Loxodonta africana (African savanna elephant)
Lineage: Eukaryota; Metazoa; Chordata; Mammalia; Proboscidea; Elephantidae
Rfam family: tRNA
About the family: Transfer RNA (tRNA) molecules are approximately 80 nucleotides in length.
Source: Rfam by way of RNAcentral
GCAAAGAUGGUUCAGGGGCAGAAUGCUCCCCUUUCAAGUGGGAAGCCCAGGUUCAAUUCCUAGACAGUGCA